ACCAGACCUGCGAGAGACACUCUUCUGAAAGUGGAUUUUAAAGAAAAAGCAGCUGAUUGGACAAAGAAAGCGAGGAGGGCACCAUGCACUUCACGUGCGCACACACUGGACAGUUAUGAGGAACAGACAACAGCAGAUACAAGGUUGACUGACUAUGAACAAAGUACACUGUGGUACAGGAUAACACUAUUCAUCCAGAAGGACAACUACCAAAAGUAGGAAGAAAGGACAGACCUACCAGAGUUGAUGCACAGUGGGAGAUAGUUAGGAGGAAGUUGCCCUGGGAGUCCUCAAUAUUGACUCGGGACCCCAUGAAUUCUCAUAUGGCAUCAGGUCAAAUACAGGUUCAACCACAAGUAUUAUGUGCUUGAUGAUACUUCAAUUGAAAAAUGGCAGGGGUGAAUGUGGAGCUUAUAGAGCAGCUCCUGAAGAAUUUCCGGACCCAUUAUGCCAAAGUUACCUUAGGUAGCUAAUGUCACUCAAGUGGAAAAUUCUGCUCUGUCUUUGUGUGAUUGGAAAUUGCCAUUGUAGAGGAACUGUUCACAGCGAAUUUUUAUUUGUCAUUUGCAAUUGCAUUUUGAUUAAAAAGCAAGAUAUCACCUAACACA
Carcharodon carcharias (great white shark) is the source of this 608-nucleotide long non-coding RNA. RefSeq lists it as uncharacterized. NCBI's taxonomy places the organism in Eukaryota, Metazoa, Chordata, Chondrichthyes, Lamniformes, Lamnidae. The record is from RefSeq and is a predicted model, not a curated record. The transcript is spliced from 4 exons.